UGGUAUAGUAGCUGGAAAAAAGUACAAGCAGGCAGCAUGGGAGGCUGCCCACGGGGCAAGUUAACUGAGUUGUUUUCCUCGCAAGUAAUCUCUUUAGCAUCCUUAGUGGAUGGGCUUUGGUUGUGAUUUGUAACAACAAUCAUGUAAUGGUGUUAGUCUGUGCUGGCACCUAUCGCCACAUGUUGUUUGAACUCUCUAAUUUUAUUAUAAUGAUACAGCACUCUCCUAAUCUUUAUCUAAAUUAUCACCAAUGCCAUAACAAAUAUAAUAUAGAGUAACUUCAUACAUUUGCAUAUAAACUUCCCACUAUUAUUAAAAAUGACUUAAUAUAAACCGUGCACAUAUACCAUUACAAAAAAAAUCUAAUGUAGUUCUCUAAAUCUGAAUAUAAAAUACCCAC
RNAcentral lists this long non-coding RNA (400 nucleotides) under Setaria viridis. RNAcentral's name for it is "long non-coding RNA (SVIR_LNC000046)". Lineage: Eukaryota; Viridiplantae; Streptophyta; Magnoliopsida; Poales; Poaceae. The record is from RNAcentral.